UACGGGGGGAGCAAGCGUUGUUCGGAUUUACUGGGCGUAAAGGGCGCGUAGGCGGCCAGCACAAGUCAGUUGUGAAAUCUCCGAGCUUAACUCGGAAAGGUCAACUGAUACUGUGCGGCUAGAGUGCGGAAGGGGCAACUGGAAUUCUUGGUGUAGCGGUGAAAUGCGUAGAUAUCAAGAGGAACACCUGCGGCGAAGGCGGGUUGCUGGGCCGACACUGACGCUGGGGCGCGAAAGCCAGGGGAGCGAACGGG
RNAcentral lists this ribosomal RNA (254 nucleotides) under uncultured bacterium. RNAcentral describes it as "partial 16S ribosomal RNA". It matches the Rfam family "Bacterial small subunit ribosomal RNA", at positions 524 to 776 of the family's 1533-position model. The record is from RNAcentral.